RNAcentral lists this ribosomal RNA (454 nucleotides) under Salmonella enterica. RNAcentral describes it as "bacterial SSU rRNA". It matches the Rfam family "Bacterial small subunit ribosomal RNA", at positions 1089 to 1533 of the family's 1533-position model. RNAcentral also lists the same sequence under 1 other name. Lineage: Bacteria; Pseudomonadati; Pseudomonadota; Gammaproteobacteria; Enterobacterales; Enterobacteriaceae. The record is from RNAcentral.
GCAACGAGCGCAACCCUUAUCCUUUGUUGCCAGCGAUUAGGUCGGGAACUCAAAGGAGACUGCCAGUGAUAAACUGGAGGAAGGUGGGGAUGACGUCAAGUCAUCAUGGCCCUUACGACCAGGGCUACACACGUGCUACAAUGGCGCAUACAAAGAGAAGCGACCUCGCGAGAGCAAGCGGACCUCAUAAAGUGCGUCGUAGUCCGGAUUGGAGUCUGCAACUCGACUCCAUGAAGUCGGAAUCGCUAGUAAUCGUGGAUCAGAAUGCCACGGUGAAUACGUUCCCGGGCCUUGUACACACCGCCCGUCACACCAUGGGAGUGGGUUGCAAAAGAAGUAGGUAGCUUAACCUUCGGGAGGGCGCUUACCACUUUGUGAUUCAUGACUGGGGUGAAGUCGUAACAAGGUAACCGUAGGGGAACCUGCGGUUGGAUCACCUCCUUACCUGAAAGAA